ACGCACGCUGGCGGCGUGCUUAACACAUGCAAGUCGAACGGUGAAGCGCCUUCCUUUUUGGUGGGUGUGGAUGAGUGGCGAACGGGUGAGUAACACGUGAGUAACCUGCCCCCUUCUUCUGGAUAACCGCAUGAAAGUGUGGCUAAUACGGGAUAUUCUGGGUCUGUCGCAUGAUGGGUCUGGGAAAGAUAUUGUUUCGGUGGGGGAUGGGCUCGCGGCCUAUCAGCUUGUUGGUGGGGUGAUGGCCUACCAAGGCGGUGACGGGUAGCCGGCCUGAGAGGGUGGACGGUCACACUGGGACUGAGACACGGUCCAGACUCCUACGGGAGGCAGCAGUGGAGAAUAUUGCACAAUGGGCGCAAGCCUGAUGCAGCGACGCCGCGUGAGGGAUGGAGGCCUUCGGGUUGUGAACCUCUUUCGCCAGUGAAGCAGGCCUGCCUCGUUUGUGGGUGGGUUGACGGUAGCUGGAUAAGAAGCGCCGGCUAACUACGUG
RNAcentral lists this ribosomal RNA (493 nucleotides) under uncultured bacterium. Its description in RNAcentral is "partial 16S ribosomal RNA". It matches the Rfam family "Bacterial small subunit ribosomal RNA", at positions 29 to 507 of the family's 1533-position model. The record is from RNAcentral.